This 468-nucleotide ribosomal RNA is filed under the name uncultured bacterium. RNAcentral describes it as "partial 16S ribosomal RNA". It matches the Rfam family "Bacterial small subunit ribosomal RNA", at positions 28 to 507 of the family's 1533-position model. The record is from RNAcentral.
GACGAACGCUGGCGGCGUGCUUAACACAUGCAAGUCGAACGGAAAGGCCCUGCUUUUGUGGGGUGCUCGAGUGGCGAACGGGUGAGUAACACGUGAGUAACCUGCCCUUGACUUUGGGAUAACUUCAGGAAACUGGGGCUAAUACCGGAUAGGAGCUCCUGCUGCAUGGUGGGGGUUGGAAAGUUUCGGCGGUUGGGGAUGGACUCGCGGCUUAUCAGCUUGUUGGUGGGGUAGUGGCUUACCAAGGCUUUGACGGGUAGCCGGCCUGAGAGGGUGACCGGGCACAUUGGGACUGAGAGACGGCCCAGACUGCUACGGGAGGCAGCAGUGGGGAAUAUUGCACAAUGGGCGGAAGCCUGAUGCAGCAACGCCGCGUGCGGGAUGACGGCCUUCGGGUUGUAAACCGCUUUCGCCUGUGACGAAGCGUGAGUGACGGUAAUGGGUAAAGAAGCACCGGCUAACUACGUG